UGGGGAAUUUUGGACGAAUUGGGCGAAAGCCUGAUCCAGCCAUCCCGCGUGUGCGAUGAAGGCCUUCGGGUUGUAAAGCACUUUUGGCAGGGAAGAAACAGCCUGGGAUAAUACCCCGGCGGACUGACGGUACCUGCAGAAUAAGCACCGGCUAACUACGUGCCAGCAGCCGCGGUAAUACGUAGGGUGCAAGCGUUAAUCGGAAUUACUGGGCGUAAAGCGUGCGCAGGCGGUUUCGGAAAGAAAGGUGUGAAAUCCCAGGGCUUAACCUUGGAACUGCACCUUUAACUACCGAGCUAGAGUACGUCAGAGGGGGGUAGAAUUCCACGUGUAGCAGUGAAAUGCGUAGAGAUGUGGAGGAAUACCGAUGGCGAAGGCAGCCCCCUGGGAUGAUACUGACGCUCAUGCACGAAAGCGUGGGGAGCAAACAGGAUUAGAUACCCCUGGGUAGUCCACGCCCUAAACGAUGUCAACUAGCUGUUGGGGUUUAUUAACCUUAGUAGCGCAGCUAACGCGUGAAGUUGACCGCCUGGGGGAGUACGGUCGCAAGAUUAAAACUCAAA
RNAcentral lists this ribosomal RNA (563 nucleotides) under uncultured bacterium. RNAcentral describes it as "partial 16S ribosomal RNA". It matches the Rfam family "Bacterial small subunit ribosomal RNA", at positions 355 to 905 of the family's 1533-position model. The record is from RNAcentral.